AAAAAGUGUUAUUAUUUAUGGUAGGCAGAAUACUAAAAUUAGCCCCAUGAUCUCCACUGCUGGUGUUAGUCCUAUGAUUAUAUUAUGUUGCAUGGCAAACAGGAAUUUGGCAGUUGCAAUUAAGGUUAUCAAUCUGUUGACUGUAUUGUAGAGACCUUUUCCCAGUGGGCCUAACCUAACCACAUAAGCCCCAUAAAGCUGAGAAUUUUCUUCAAUUGGUAGCUGAAAAGAAAAUCAAAGAGAUUCAAAGUGUGAGAGGGAUUAUUUCAGGGAGACAUUGCUAGAAUGGAUUGGGCCACUCAGGCAAGAACUUGAGAAUGGCCUCUAAGAACUGAGAAAUGUACCCAGCCAACAGCCAGCAAGAAAACAGGGACCUCAGUCCUACAACUGCAAGGCACUCAGUUCUACCAAAAACCUGAAUGAGUUUGGAAGUGGAUUCUUCUACAGAGCCUCCAGCCAGCUCUCCUCUACUAGAGUUUGGAAGACUUUCAACCAAUCAGUCGUUCAGAAAAUAAUACUGGAUACCUACUAAGUUCAAGGCAUUGUUUGUGCUAUAUGAACACAGCAAUGAACAACAAUAAUAACAAUAAAUAAACAAAAACUCAUCUAUACUCAUGGAGUUUACAGUCAAGGGGCCAAGAGAGAAAAUUAAGAAAUAAAAUGAAUGAACUCCUCAAUCUGAACAGAUCAAUGGUGUUCAUCAACCAAUGUCACGAUUUGAGCAGCCAAUACCAGGUACGACCCUAGAAGCUUCUUUUGCCUUCUUCACACACUGGAAGGGCAGAGGGAACUUCUUUGCAAGUACCAGUGAGGAAGAAGGGGGGUUUUGUGCCUUCUGCAGCUAUUGGAAAUCUUCUUAUACUAUCUAAGGCAGUGCCUGCUUCAUCCACAUCAUGUCCCUAACUGCCACUUGGGAUGGCAUCUGCCAGCAGUUCUCUGAAACAGGUUCAACUAGUAAAAUCAGUUAAUUGCCAAGCACAGAUUUUCAUGACCCUGAUGCUUCCAUUAGAAAAAGGUCAAAACCCUGCCACUGAAAAGAGGUGUCAGAAAACACAGGGAGGUGGUUCUGGUGCAAUGAUUCCAGCAGCAGACAAGUCUUUUGUUCAACAAUUAUAGCUUACUUGUCCAUGUUAUGGAUUGGAUUGUGUUUGCCCAAUAUUUGUAUGUUGAAAUCCUAACCCCCAGCACCUCAGAAAGUGACCUAAUUUGGAUGGGGUUGUUGCAGAUGUAAUUAGUUCAGAUGAGGUCAUACCGGAGUAGGAUCAGCCCCAAUACAAUAUGACUGGCGUUCUUACAAGAAGACACAGACACAGGGAGAAUACCAGUGCAAAGGGGAAGGUAGAGAUCAAAGUGAUGCUUCUACAGGCCAAGGAAUGCCAAAGAGUGCCAGGAACCACCAGAAGCUAGGAGAGAGGCAUGGAAUGGAUUUCUCCCUUACAGCCUACAAAAGGAACGAGCCCUGCUGACACCUUAAUCUUGCACUUCCAGCUUCCAGGACUGUGAGACAAUAAAUUCAUGUUGUUUAAGCCACCCAGUCUGUGGUACUUUGUUAUGGG
This 1556-nucleotide long non-coding RNA is filed under the name Homo sapiens (human). Its description in RNAcentral is "HSALNT0213666". The record is from RNAcentral. Lineage: Eukaryota; Metazoa; Chordata; Mammalia; Primates; Hominidae.